AAAGGCUAAUCAAGCCCGGAGAUAGCUGGUUCUCCCCGAAAGCUAUUUAGGUAGCGCCUCGGACGAAUACCACAGGGGGUAGAGCACUGUUUCGGCUAGGGGGUCAUCCCGACUUACCAACCCGAUGCAAACUCCGAAUACCUGUGAGUACUAUCCGGGAGACACACGGCGGGUGCUAACGUCCGUCGUGAAGAGGGAAACAACCCAGACCGCCAGCUAAGGUCCCCAAGUACCAGUUAAGUGGGAAACGAUGUGGGAAGGCUCAGACAGCUAGGAGGUUGGCUUAGAAGCAGCCAUCCUUUAAAGAAAGCGUAAUAGCUCACUGAUCGAGUCGUCCUGCGCGGAAGAUGUAACGGGGCUAAGCCAGUCACCGAAGCUGCGGAUCA
RNAcentral lists this ribosomal RNA (386 nucleotides) under Tryblionella compressa. Its description in RNAcentral is "partial Bacterial large subunit ribosomal RNA". It matches the Rfam family "Bacterial large subunit ribosomal RNA", at positions 824 to 1209 of the family's 2925-position model. The record is from RNAcentral. Lineage: Eukaryota; Bacillariophyta; Bacillariophyceae; Bacillariales; Bacillariaceae.